This 441-nucleotide long non-coding RNA is filed under the name Monodelphis domestica (gray short-tailed opossum). Its description in RNAcentral is "lncRNA (ENSMODG00000038297.1)". Lineage: Eukaryota; Metazoa; Chordata; Mammalia; Didelphimorphia; Didelphidae. The record is from RNAcentral.
AGAGAGAGAGAGAGACAGUUUAGAAAGAAAGAAAGAAAGAAAGAAAGAAAGAAAGAAAGAAAGAAAGAAAGAAAGAAAGAAAGAAAGAAAGAAAGAAAGAAAGAAAGAAAGAAAGAAAGAAAGAAAGAAAGAAAGAAAGAAAGAAAGAAAGAAAGAAAGAAAGAAAGAAAGAAAGAAAGAAAGAAAGAAAGAAAGAAAGAAAGGAAGGAAGGAAGGAAGGAAGGAAGGAAGGAAGGAAAAAAGAAAGAAAAGAAAGAAAGAAGGAAGGAAGGAAGGAAGGAAGGAAGGAAGGAAGGAAGGAAGGAAGGAAGGAAGGAAGGAAGGAAGGAAGGAAGGAAGGAAGGAAGGAAGGAAGGAAGGAAGGAAGGAAGGAAGGAAGGAAGGAAGGAAGGAAGGAAGGAAGGAAGGAAGGAAGGAAGGAAAAGAAAAGUGAAGUGAUAU